Molecule: long non-coding RNA, 537 nt
Filed under: Danio rerio (zebrafish)
Lineage: Eukaryota; Metazoa; Chordata; Actinopteri; Cypriniformes; Danionidae
Description: lncRNA si:ch211-248g18.6 (ENSDARG00000097211.2)
Source: RNAcentral
GGACGACCGAGAUUAAAAGGGAUAGAUCGGGAAGAACUGGCCCCAGUGCCUGCUCGUCUGAGGAUGAAUUUACAGAAGGAUGCUGCGGAGAUUCUUUUAAAUGGAGGGAAAGAGCAAGUCAUCCUCAAGAACAGACUCCGAGCGCCAUAGCUUCCGCAGAGUCAUUGGACAGAAACCAAAACGCGAAGAGCGCUCGAAAAUAGGAAUUAUCGCUGAAAUACACAUUUCAUUUCGAUGCUUUUCUUCGCUGUGCUAACGUGUCUUCGCGAUACAGAAGAGGAACGCUAUUGUGCAUCGGCGUUAAGCCGCGAAGGAGGGCGUAUUUGCAUAGACAAGAGGAGUCGCAGCAUCUGAGCUGUGGAAACAUUCCUGUUCUUCCAUCAGGAUAGUGCGUUAAUAAGUGCUCUUGUACUGCAAAGGUUUUGUUUUCUUUCCUUUUUUUUUCUUGAAAUGUGAUGCUCUCGUGAUGCUUCUAUUGCUCGUUCCUCCAACUAUAUCAAGGACAAAGAGCUCUUAUAUAAAGAUUGAAUGAAGAAA